Ictalurus punctatus (channel catfish) is the source of this 5214-nucleotide long non-coding RNA. RefSeq lists it as uncharacterized. The record is from RefSeq and is a predicted model, not a curated record. Lineage: Eukaryota; Metazoa; Chordata; Actinopteri; Siluriformes; Ictaluridae. The transcript is spliced from 4 exons.
AAAUGGUGACGUUAACCAAGAGAAUGUUGAACUUUGGUCCUAUCUAUUAUGUUGGCCAGUUUCUAAGUUGAGAUCAACUUAACCCCAGUGCUUUCUGUUUAACGACCUUGUUCGUAUUUUUGUUUACAACUAGCACACUUUUGACCAGCAUGUCGCUUGGAAAUCGUUACCAGCAUAACUCUUAUUCGUAAGGCUCACUCUGGAGGCUUGUCUUGGUUCAAGGAAUGCCUUCGUGUCACGGUAUGAGAACAAGUAGAAUAGCAUCAGCAUUUUUAAUUAAACUUGGCUUUUCUGCACAAGGAGACCAAAAUUUCUAACAAACACGUUAAUUCCACACCACAAACUGACGUGUAAUCUUGGCUCUGUAUGCCUCGCAAAAAGCAGGUUUACGCCACCUUUGCCACUGAUUGCCCAUCGUCUGACACGUAUAAUGACGCAAAGGCCUCGUACAAAUGGUAAAUGUGUGAAGUUACCCAGAAGAAGGCUGAACCAUGGUUCUAUCGCAUAGGCAGUUGAGUCCCUGAGUUGCGCUUCAGGUAUAAGUUGUCCACGCUUCACUCUCACGCACUGGGGUGAGAUCUACCAUUUGAUCUUGAAAAUCUCCCUUAAUGUCCAGGGAAGGGAAACCAGCCAGGUUAUGCCUUUAAAGGGCUCGUGCCUUGUCCUCUGAAAGAGCUCUUGCCCAGAUGUCAGACACUAGUCGCAACAGUCACAGCCCACCACCUGUCUCCGAGUUCCAAUGCGUCUUGAUCGCCACGCCGAUGAACAAGUAUGCCUUGCACCAUGAUGCGCUAUAGGCUUCGAGCUGGGACCUCGUGGCACAACGGUAGUGCGUCUGACUCCAGAGCAGAAGGUUCAAAUCAUGUCGGGGUCAUUCAAUGUGCUCUUUUUCACACAGACCCAUGAUUUUCUGCGCAGUCUAAUAAGGAUGCUGUUAUAUGGACUCCAAUCUCUAUGAUGACCACCCAUGUCUUUGUCAACUUCAUGCUAAAAGGUAACAAAGCUUAGGUAGCGACACUCUCACCUAGUAACCAUUAGUAACUUGACAACCUGCUGAAUGUUUACCCUUAGUUUGCCCAUUUUGCUUGCUGAACAAAGCAUGCUGGAAAGAGGCACCUUAGAUGGUUUCACUGGACCUCUCAGAGGAUCUGGAGGGUACUACAACACCCAAACAGGGACUUGAACCUUGGACCCUCAGAUUAAAAGUCUGAUGCUCUACCGACUGAGCUACCUGGGCUCGAGGAGAGAGAGAGCCCACUUUACCCUCGAGCUUGUAGGUCAGGCCUGUGGACGCUCUAGUUCAACGGUUCUCACAGACAUAAAUGGUGCUCAGCCCUUGGCUUGGAAAGGGCCCAUCCCAUCUGGUUCUCAUGGCUUUCUACAAACUAUUAACACAGCUCAGCACCACUAUUCAAGGAUACAAACCAACAGGGUUCAACCACGGCUCUGUCCUUCAUACUUCUUUACCCACUGACUGCCUGCAGUCUGAGACAUACAAAGAGACAAGGUUCUUGUGAAACCUGUAAAAUGGUGACGUUAACCAAGAGAAUGUUGAACUUUGGUCCUAUCUAUUAUGUUGGCCAGUUUCUAAGUUGAGAUCAACUUAACCCCAGUGCUUUCUGUUUAACGACCUUGUUCGUAUUUUUGUUUACAACUAGCACACUUUUGACCAGCAUGUCGCUUGGAAAUCGUUACCAGCAUAACUCUUAUUCGUAAGGCUCACUCUGGAGGCUUGUCUUGGUUCAAGGAAUGCCUUCGUGUCACGGUAUGAGAACAAGUAGAAUAGCAUCAGCAUUUUUAAUUAAACUUGGCUUUUCUGCACAAGGAGACCAAAAUUUCUAACAAACACGUUAAUUCCACACCACAAACUGACGUGUAAUCUUGGCUCUGUAUGCCUCGCAAAAAGCAGGUUUACGCCACCUUUGCCACUGAUUGCCCAUCGUCUGACACGUAUAAUGACACAAAGGCCUCGCACAAAUGGUAAAUGUGUGAAGUUACCCAGAAGAAGGCUGAACCAUGGUUCUAUCGCAUAGGCAGUUGAGUCCCUGAGUUGCGCUUCAGGUAUAAGUUGUCCACGCUUCACUCUCACACACUGGGGUGAGAUCUACCAUUUGAUCUUGAAAAUCUCCCUUAAUGUCCAGGGAAGGGAAACCAGCCAGGUUAUGCCUUUAAAGGGCUCGUGCCUUGUCCUCUGAAAGAGCUCUUGCCCAGAUGUCAGACACUAGUCGCAACAGUCACAGCCCACCACCUGUCUCCGAGUUCCAAUGCGUCUUGAUCGCCACGCCGAUGAACAAGUAUGCCUUGCACCAUGGUGCGCUAUAGUUUUUGCGCUUGGACCUCGUGGCGCAAUGGUAGCGCGUCUGACUCCAGAUCAGAAGGUUGUGUGUUCAAAUCACGUCGGGGUCAUUCAAUGUGCUCUUUUUCACACAGACCCAUGAUUUACUGCGCAGUCUAAUAAGGAUGCUGUUAUAUGGACUCCAAUCUCUAUGAUGACCACCCAUGUCUUUGUCAACUUCAUGCUAAAAGUGCCCAAAGCCCGUGGUGGUGGCAGUGCAUGGCGUUUGUGUGGAAGCAGGAGUGGAUCUAAUCACAGCCUGUGAUAUUCGUCUGUGCACACAGGAGGCCUGGUUUCAGGUGAAGGUAUGAGGAACAUUAACUUGCCAUACAUUGCUUGCUUACAUGUUUACACCAAGAUCUGUAAACAAGCUAUUUUUGUCCAUAUGAUCAUAUAUAGAGAUAGUAAGUGAUGAGAAGAUAAGAAUGGGCUGAUUGUUCCGACUCGUACAAGCCCCUAUGAAAGAGUUGACCACAAGGGGGCACACUCUGAACAAUUAUUUACAUUUGCAGUUUGUUGAAGAUUAAAUAAACCACAGUGAGCAUCAGAUGUCUGGUUUUAAUACAAAGUUUUAUGAUGAACUAUUUUAUGAUAUUACCAUCUUGUCAUUUAUCAAAGAAGAGCUACAAAACCUGAAAUUUGUUCAUUUUUAGACAGAAAAAUUCUGCAGUGUAGCUCUUCUAGUGGGCUUUCCCACUGGAUGUUUAGUCCAAAACAGAGCAGUUUGCAUGGAAAGUUGGUAAUGUGACCGUCGUAAUGUGGACUGGGAAGUGCACUGCGGUACCGAACCCGAGACUACCUGUAGAAGGUGGUCCGAGUUCAGUUACAAUGGAACUGUGAAUGUGAAUUGUCCCAUGAAUGUGAACGUAACUUGUAUCCGGGUCUGCACUUUUUCAGGAAGUAGAGUAACCUGUGCUGAAGGCCUGUUGUGGUGAUGACGUGUCAUGACAUGUUUUGGCCCAAAUCUGCAGUGACUUUGAAAAAGUGGAAGCUCCUCUGAAUAUUGUGGAGUUUCUUGAUUUUGUGUUAAUUUCUAUGAUCACAAAAAGGUGAAAUUCUAGACUGACACAUGGAAGAUAUGGAAUGAUAACAGAAGAAUGUGACGUUGGGUUGUACCGUGUAUUUUUUUCAUGUAGCUUAAUUGUUUAGUAUAAAUGAAGGCAAGUGUGUGUUCUGUUCAUCUCUGCAGUCGUGUGUUCCCUGAUAGUCAAUGAUUGCUGGAGCUCUGGAAAUAGCAGGUGAGAUUGCAGGCCGGAGUCGCGUCGCUGUCUAGGGAACCAAAGUCAACCUCCCCUACUCCUGAGACCACAGUGUGACUGAGAGCCUAGACUACAUGGCUACUUGGAACAUGAACAUGUUGCAGACACAGGAUCUUAUGAAGUCAGCGCAGGCAGCCCUGGAAAAGAAGAGUCCGAAAGACGUGCCCUUCUCCAAGCUUUAAAGGAGAAGAUCCAGGGCUGUUGAAGCUGCGGUGGAACUGAGACUUCAUCAUCCCCAUAUCUUUAGUUUUUCUUGCUAAGUCUCAGUUUCUUUUUAGUCUUUUUAUUUUUAGACUGGUCAAAAGACUGAUUAGUGGAAGUGAAAUGAUAGAUGAACUUUUAAUUACUUGCUUUAUUAUUUGCAGGGGCCUUGUACAGUAAGACAGGGUAACUAAUACUCAAAAGCUUGUUUUGUGUGUUAACAUGUACAGUAGAUGGACAUAUUUUUUCUGGUCCUGUGUGACUGCAGAAUGUAGUGCAGUUAACACAGUAAAUUUCCUUGGAUGCUCACUUUUAACUCGAGGAGGUCACAGUUUGCCCAGACAUCUUUUAUUUAAAUCCGUCAAUCUGUCACCCACACGUCAUUCUGGGGGACGAAGAGGAGGAAGCUGGACAGAUACAUUUAUUUAUUAUUGCUGUUUCCUCAAUCCAGUGCAGAAAGAAGAAAAACUACACAACUGAUUUAAAAUAAAAAUAUAGAAAACAAUCUAAUGUAAGGUUCUGAUCCGGUUUGCUUUCAGCAGGAAGGCUGUCCUCUUUCCUGUUGCUCUUUCCCUUCUAUUAGUCCAUUUGUCCAGUCUGAAUCGGUUUGAUUGUUUGAUUCGUUUCGAGACGAUUCAGAGUCAAAUAAUUUUCUAGUGAGAGUCGCACACUUCCAAACGAACUAGACUGAGAUGAGUAUUUGAUUCUCACUAGAAAGUGAUUAGACUCUGAAUAAACUCGAAAUGAAUCAGUCAAACUGAUUCAGACUUGAUAAAAGGACUAUGAGAUGUGAUUAAGAUAUAUAUUCCAAUGUUUUGCUUUACAAUUCCACUGUGUGUGUGUGCGCGCCUGUGUGUGUUUUUCAGGGGAAUGAGAAAAUCUGACACAACAGUACAUACUGACCAUUGGUACUGUGUACACAUCAACAUACACACACGUCUCCAUGCUGGACAUCUCAGGAGGUUUCACACACAGUGCUAGGAAUAUCCCGGGACAGAGAAACGCACCUCCUAAGUGAGUGAGUUUAGCGUCAACCGGUGAAAUUUGCUGUUGCGUGAACGCUUCGCCUCUGUGAGCUUCACUCUCUGUCAGGUUCCCUGUAAUUAGACAUAAAAUGUACAUAAUUAUUUUGCAUACAUUUAGGAUUUAAUGUUUUUUUUUUUUUUUUUAACUCUUCGAGGAACAGAAAUGAUCUUUCGAGGCAGCUUCUUCAUCACUACCUGCUCCGUUUGACUCAAAAAUGUAACGACCGGUUUCAAAAAGUCACGAUGUCUUCAGUUCAUGAGAUUUUACUGUUGAAUUUAAACAGGAAAUGUGAAAUAUUUUUGUUCCUUUAUGUUUCCUCUACUGUCUUUUUGCUGUGAUAUUGAACACAGUUGUAUUUUUUUUAAAAGAAUACAUAAAUGAUCAUUCUAUUUC